GAUGAAGAACGUAGCGAAAUGCGAUAAGUAAUGUGAAUUGCAGUAUUCAGUGAAUCAUCGAAUCUUUGAACGCACAUUGCGCCCGCCAGCAUUCUGGCGGGCAUGCCUGUUCGAGCGUCAUUUCAACCCUCAAGCUCUGCUUGGUGUUGGGGCCCUACGGUUGACGUAGGCCCUUAAAGGUAGUGGCGGACCCUCUCGGAGCCUCCUUUGCGUAGUAACUAACGUCUCGCACUGGGAUUCGGAGGGACUCUUGCCGUAAAACCCCCAAAUUUUUAAAGGUUGACCUCGGAUCAGGUAGGAAUACCCGCUGAACUUAAGCAUAUCAAUAAGCGGAGGA
This 337-nucleotide unclassified non-coding RNA is filed under the name soil metagenome. Its description in RNAcentral is "partial contains 5.8S ribosomal RNA, internal transcribed spacer 2, and large subunit ribosomal RNA". The stretch from base 1 to 120 matches the Rfam family "5.8S ribosomal RNA", at positions 35 to 154 of the family's 154-position model. The record is from RNAcentral.